UUUUUUUUCAAAUUUUGCCUCGAAUUUUCUUUUCAGUGUUUCUUUGCACAUGAGAUUAUUAAGAACAUAGACACCCCACUCUUUAUUCUCAACCCAGCAUACGAUGUUUGGCAGAUACAACAUAUAUUGGCUCCAGAAUCAUCUGAUACUCAACAAUCAUGGCAAAGGUGCAAGCUGAACAUUCACAAUUGUGAUUCCAACCAGAUUGAAUCUCUCCAAGGAUUCAGGGUUGCCUUGCUUAAUUCCUUGAGUGAUUUUCAGCAUAACAGGAAUGGGGCCAUGUUUAUAGAUUCUUGCUUCAUACAUUGUCAGACAAUAAGCAAUAUCACAUGGCACUCUCCAAAUUCUCCAAAAAUUAAUAAUAAGACAUGAGGAAGAGCAAAGGGAAAGCAACAGCUAUGGCCAAGAAAAAAG
This is a non-coding RNA of Phoenix dactylifera (date palm), 414 nucleotides long. Lineage: Eukaryota; Viridiplantae; Streptophyta; Magnoliopsida; Arecales; Arecaceae. The record is from RefSeq and is a predicted model, not a curated record.